RNAcentral lists this ribosomal RNA (590 nucleotides) under Candida tropicalis. Its description in RNAcentral is "eukaryotic LSU rRNA". It matches the Rfam family "Eukaryotic large subunit ribosomal RNA", at positions 50 to 656 of the family's 3401-position model. The record is from RNAcentral. Lineage: Eukaryota; Fungi; Ascomycota; Pichiomycetes; Serinales; Debaryomycetaceae.
UCUGAGGAAAAGAAACCAACAGGGAUUGCCUUAGUAGCGGCGAGUGAAGCGGCAAAAGCUCAAAUUUGAAAUCUGGCUCUUUCAGAGUCCGAGUUGUAAUUUGAAGAAGGUAUCUUUGGGUCUGGCUCUUGUCUAUGUUUCUUGGAACAGAACGUCACAGAGGGUGAGAAUCCCGUGCGAUGAGAUGAUCCAGGCCUAUGUAAAGUUCCUUCGAAGAGUCGAGUUGUUUGGGAAUGCAGCUCUAAGUGGGUGGUAAAUUCCAUCUAAAGCUAAAUAUUGGCGAGAGACCGAUAGCGAACAAGUACAGUGAUGGAAAGAUGAAAAGAACUUUGAAAAGAGAGUGAAAAAGUACGUGAAAUUGUUGAAAGGGAAGGGCUUGAGAUCAGACUUGGUAUUUUGUAUGUUACUUCUUCGGGGGUGGCCUCUACAGUUUAUCGGGCCAGCAUCAGUUUGGGCGGUAGGAGAAUUGCGUUGGAAUGUGGCACGGCUUCGGUUGUGUGUUAUAGCCUUCGUCGAUACUGCCAGCCUAGACUGAGGACUGCGGUUUAUACCUAGGAUGUUGGCAUAAUGAUCUUAAGUCGCCCGUCUNA